This 253-nucleotide ribosomal RNA is filed under the name uncultured bacterium. RNAcentral describes it as "partial 16S ribosomal RNA". It matches the Rfam family "Bacterial small subunit ribosomal RNA", at positions 524 to 776 of the family's 1533-position model. The record is from RNAcentral.
UACAGAGGUGGCAAGCGUUGUUCGGAAUUACUGGGCGUAAAGGGCGCGUAGGCGGCCAUCUAAGUCAGACGUGAAAUCCCCCGGCUUAACCUGGGAACUGCGUCUGAUACUGGAAGGCUUGAGUAUGGGAGAGGGAUGUAGAAUUCCAGGUGUAGCGGUGAAAUGCGUAGAUAUCUGGAGGAACACCGGUGGCGAAGGCGGCAUCCUGGACCAACACUGACACUGAGGAGCGAAAGCCAGGGGAGCAAACGGG